CAGGGACCUGGGAGCUAUCACUUUGCUGGAAUUGGCUGGCUGUCCUUGGAGUGAAUGUUGUUUUGGAUUCCUUGAUUUCUUUGGAAGGACAUCUUCUUAAAUGGUGGGAUUUUUUUAUGCCAGGAUUCAAGAUCCUUUCUAGAUCAAAACAGUCAUAAACUAAACAACAACAACAACAACAACAACAACAACAACAAAAACAACUCACUUCCCAAAAUGGCCCUGCUGUGGUCCAAGCCAGUGGCUCUCCCAUUCCCUGGCUUUUCAGUGUCUCCUCUGAGGCCCAGCGAGGGGCCACCUCCAGCAAGAGCUCUUCCCCACUGUGACUCUUCUCCAGAUCUCUGCAGCUCUUCUGAUCCAAAUCCUGACUCUACUGAAUACGAAAUGCAGCAGAAAAGGAAAUCAUGAUUUCAGCUUUUGACCUUCAAGAUCAUGAUCAGGAAACUGGGCUGUGGAGUAAAGUUGGAAGUAGUAGAACCAGAACUGGAGUCCAGGAGGACUCAUUCCAGGCUGAAUGAACUUUGAUCAAUGUUAUGUCUUUCUUCUACAAUCUUUCCUAACCCUGCUGGCUUCCUUGAAUGUCUGCCUGUAAGUCUUUGUGCAGCAACAUAAAUGAGAAGGUGUCAUUUGUUGAUGGACAUCUAGGUUCUUUCCAUGGUUUGGCUGUUGUGGACAUUGCUGCUAUAAACAUUCGGGUGCAUUUGCCCCUUCGGAUCUCAAGUGACCUUUUUAGAACAGAAGUCCACCUCACUGGUCCCUGCUCUGUUGGUGUUCAGUCGUCUGUGGGAGCGUGGUAACCCGAUGACAGUGAUGUGGGCUGCUGCUCAGAUAUGCUGGGCUAACAGCUAAACUUCUGUGACUACUAAAAAGCCCAUCAGAAGUGUAGAAGGCGCAUGGACUGAACAGAGGACAUGGAUGCGGAGGACAUGGAGGCAAGAGAUGCGGGUGAUGUGGAUCUGCUUGAAGGCCUGGGAGGCAGAAGAGGACAGAUGCAGUAUGAAUUUUGAGGCUCUUAGGUGGUGAAUAUUCCAUGAGGCCCACUUCAGGCUCAGUGUUUCCCAAUCUGCUCUCUUUCAACCAUGCAUAACCCUGUGAUGUGAAAUAUCACCACUUUAUGAUACAGGAUAAUGCUACAAGAGAUCUUUCACUGAUGUAUCUUUGAGCUUGAGGAGCUAGCACAUUAAAUCAUGGAGUCCAGAAGGCAGUGGAAUACCAUAUUCAAGGUGCUGAAAGAAGGUGAUGGAACAGACUGGUAGAGGCUGGCAUGAUGACGGAGGCAGGAUGAGCCUCUGUAUCUGUAUGACCCAAAACCUGUGUUAUUCUGAGUAUUAGAAAACACAAGAUAAAACUUAGUAUCUUCCAUUCUUGUAUCUCUAAUAUCUAACCCCUAGUCUGAAUUUAUUGGUGCUUUAUAAAUAUUUGCUGAACAAGU
Molecule: long non-coding RNA, 1432 nt
Organism: Mustela lutreola (European mink)
Lineage: Eukaryota; Metazoa; Chordata; Mammalia; Carnivora; Mustelidae
Exons: 10
Source: RefSeq, a predicted model, not a curated record